This 1519-nucleotide long non-coding RNA is filed under the name Pan troglodytes (chimpanzee). Its description in RNAcentral is "long non-coding RNA NONPTRT018536". The record is from RNAcentral. Lineage: Eukaryota; Metazoa; Chordata; Mammalia; Primates; Hominidae.
AGCUAUUCAAGCAGAGAUUACCCAAGUUCUCGUGAUACUAGAGAUUAUGCACCACCACCACGAGAUUACACUUACCGUGAUUAUGGUCAUUCCAGUUCACGUGAUGACUAUCCAUCAAGAGGAUAUAGCGAUAGAGAUGGAUAUGGUCGUGAUCGUGACUAUUCAGAUCAUCCAAGUGGAGGUUCCUACAGAGAUUCAUAUGAGAGUUAUGGUUGGUGAUUUUGCUCAUUAUGGUCAUGGAGUGCUGAUUGAUUCACAGUAGAUAAAGCUGGCAGUAAGAAAUGUUAAGAGUUGUUGAAGCAGAAGGCGGCUGAUUGUCAAUAAGUCACUACAGUUGCAUAAGCAGUGCUGUCAGAAUUGGUUUGGUGCAGGCAAUAGAUUUUGCCUUCAGGGGUUCCUGUGGAUCUGAGGAAGGCAUCAGUGUUGAUUAACACUCAUAACUAGGGAGUGACUGGUAGUUACUUAAAGCAAGUAAUUGACCAAAUGGAAAAGGGGAAGUAAUUAAGGAAAUUGGUAAGUGGAGGUAGUCAGGAAGUUCUUGUGGUUCUUUACAUAGAUUUUACAGCUUUGGCUUUCAUUUUGUUUAGCUAAAGUCAUGGGGACAACUCUUCAAUUUAGAACUUAAGUUGAAUUAUAAAAAUGAUGGAUAUAAGUGGUAGCUGUAUCUAGUGAAGUGUCUGUCAGUAAGUGAAACAUUUUUUGGUGGUGGCUUAUCCACAAACAGUUUAGUUGUAGAAUAAAACUUAUGAGUGACAUCUGGAAAGUAACCAUGCUAAGAUGGCAAGCACACUGGAAACAAUUAGGCCACUUGGCUUUCUUUUGCUGUAUUGUUUUAUAAGCCUACUUUACCUCCCAGUCUUGGAAACAAGUUUUAGUUUUUUAUUGGUUUGGAGACUAGAGCCAAUAGUAUAAUGUUCUCAAAGGAAACAGACUUGAGUUGUUGGAUUAGAGGAACUAACCCAACUUCUAUGAUUUUUUUGUUUGUUUGUUUUUGUCGUGUAGUUAUGGCACUGUCUUAUUUGGAACAUUUGCAACUAGGGAUAAUACAACAUUUUUAACUCUCAUUUGACAACCUACUGCUAAUCACAGACCACAAGGGUAAUGACCAAAUUUAUGUGGUUUUUGCACUCCAUAGUUGUCUUAGCCCAAUCUUUCUAUACUCUUACGAUUACUUGGGUUAACGCUUCUGUGAGGACCUUCUGGCUCUUGAGAUACCCUAAAUAUUUAAGAUAUUUAGAUAUCUUGAAGAUAGUAUAGGAUAUAGAGAUUGUACCAAAUAGGAAUAUAAGGAGUAUGUUAAAAUGACCAGAUACCUGUUUGAUAGUUUACUGACCUAGCAGAUGUGUGGAAAAGGAAUCAGAUCUUGAUUCUUCUGGGUUUAUACUGGUUGUAAAACAGAAUGAUACAGAAAAUGUUUUCCUUGUUUAACUGGUAGUUGAACAUAGAACUUGGGUAUUAUAGAUCACUUUUCACUUUUUGGAAUGUUUUGUAUUGAAACUUAAUAAAACUUUAACAUGGC